AGACAGACGCCAACAGUCAGACGUUCAUCGCUAUCUUGGCAAUGCAGUAGUGCACAAACCCAACUUUUACAUCAACAAUUAACAGAAUACAAAAUAACAUAAGUGUAAAUGACCUGUAUCUUCACAGCAUCAACCAGCAGCUCAGUUUCCUCUGCUGAGAAGAGUUUGUUGAACACGUCCAGGUAGCUGCACCGUGAAAAUAGCAAUCCACCAAAGUCAGAGCUCACCUGACUCUUAAAGAGAAUGAAAAGCAAGUGAUGCUCUGAUUGGUUUAUUUCACGUUACGCCCAAAAUUAACCACACCCAUGAUUAAUUUAGAGAAUUAGUACAUACCUUUUAUGUGUUUCGAGCCAUGAAGGUGUACUUUUCCCGUUGUUACGAUACCAAAUUUUUAAUUCACAAUUUAAGGUGGAACAGAGAGUUUGAGGAAGAAGCUGGUCUGAUUUGCCAGAUUGUCUUUGCUGAACCAUUUAAGGUGGAACACAAUGCUCCAAUAAUAAAUGGCCUGUAUAAAGGAGCCAGAAUGUAACUGCAGCAUCAUUUAAGGUGGAACAGGAAGUUUCAGUAAGUUUUGAGCUGCACAAGUUGUAAUUUUCCCAUCGUUAUGAUAGCAAAGACACAAUGACACGCCCUAAAUCAAGCUGCACGGUGCACAGUUGACGGCUCGCCUAGAUAUCACUACAUUAUGGCCCAAUGUCUACGUUGUCUGACAUGAAAGACCUAAAAGCUCUAAAGUAAAGUCCCUCAGGGACUUCAGUGUAAAUUGUGUGUGUGUUUAGGAGGCUCGUAUAAGUCGUGGGGUGGAGCUGAUGGUUCUGCAUGUGGAGAACCUGAAGAAACGUCACAGUUUGGAGAGCAUGGAGCUCCUGCACACCAGGAGACUCCUGCAGAGCACCCGCGGACGCCUCCUCAGCGACUCCACCGUGGACGGAGACCUGAAGCAGCUAUCAGGAGGAUCGCACGUCACUCGCCGGAGAGUUAGCAUCACUCUGAUACCGACCCAGUCUCAGCUGACUGAUUUGGAGGUAAAGUUUCUGGAGAACUGUCGAUCAGGAGAGGAAGCUGGAAGUUCAAAUCAGGAGGAGCUGAAGGCUACGAACCGGAGGUGCUUUGUUCUUCCUGUAGAUGGCAAUGUUGACCAAUCCACUGAUGGUCAGGAUGAGGAGCCAAGCUUUGAUGGCUUACCCAGCUCUCUACAGGCCACUCUGAGACACCGCGGUCGAACACCUGCUCUACUAAAAUCAGAUCAGAGCUCAGAGGAGGAGGAGGAGUCCAGCUCACCUGAGUGCUUACAUGACUCAACUGCUGUCCAUCAAUCAGAGACGUGUUUGAGCGCCGGUCAGCCCCCCCGACGCUCCUCCUGCAGGAGAACGCUGAUGAUUCUGCUGCUGUUUUCUGGAGUCUUCAUCUUCAUCACUCUGCUGUUCCUGCUGUUAAAUCAGAGAGAGCCUCCACCCCGCAGAACCUGACUCUGUGUGUGUGUCUGUGUGUAGAUAUAAAUACAAGAUU
Molecule: long non-coding RNA, 1509 nt
Filed under: Astyanax mexicanus (Mexican tetra)
Lineage: Eukaryota; Metazoa; Chordata; Actinopteri; Characiformes; Acestrorhamphidae
Description: lncRNA (ENSAMXG00005003621.1)
Source: RNAcentral